Molecule: ribosomal RNA, 618 nt
Filed under: uncultured bacterium
Lineage: Bacteria
Description: bacterial SSU rRNA
Rfam family: Bacterial small subunit ribosomal RNA
Source: RNAcentral
GAUGAACCGCUGGCGGCGUGCUUAAANAUGCAAGUCGAACGGGGCUUCGGCCUAGUGGCGGACGGGUGAGUAACGCGUGAGAACCUGCCCUUAGGAUGGGGACAACAGUUGGAAACGACUGCUAAUACCCAAUGUGCCGAGAGGUGAAAAAUUUAUUGCCUGAGGAUGGGCUCGCGUCUGAUUAGCUAGUUGGUGUGGUAAGAGCAUACCAAGGCAACGAUCAGUAGCUGGUUUGAGAGGAUGAUCAGCCACACUGGGACUGAGACACGGCCCAGACUCCUACGGGAGGCAGCAGCGGGGAAUUUUCCGCAAUGGGCGAAAGCCUGACGGAGCAACGCCGCGUGUGGGAGGAAGGUUUUCGGACUGUAAACCACUUUUCUCAGGGAAGAAUUUUGACGGUACCUGAGGAAUAAGCAUCGGCUAAUUCCGUGCCAGCAGCCGCGGUAAUACGGGAGAUGCAAGCGUUAUCCGGAUUUAUUGGGCGUAAAGCGUCCGCAGGCGGAUUACCAAGUCUGUUGUUAAAGACCGGGGCUUAACUCCGGAAUGGCAAUGGAAACUGGUAGUCUAGAGUAUGGUAGGGGUAAGGGGGAAUUCCCCGGUGUAGCGGUGAAAUGCGUA